Molecule: long non-coding RNA, 101 nt
Organism: Gopherus evgoodei (Goodes thornscrub tortoise)
Lineage: Eukaryota; Metazoa; Chordata; Testudines; Testudinidae
Exons: 4
Source: RefSeq, a predicted model, not a curated record
UUGCCAACGGCUGAACUGGCAGAGUGAUUGUGGAUAUCCUUCACUACCGAUUUCUUGCAAGCAUAUCGGGCUACACGACAUGCCACAUCACAAAGAUCACC